ACGCUCGACACCUACGGAGGCAGCAGUUGGGAAUAUUGGACAAUGGAGGAAACUCUGAUCCAGUGACGCCGCGUGAAGGAAGAAGGUCUUCGGAUUGUAAACUUAUUUUGUCAGGGAAGAAAAAUGACUGUACCUGAAGAAAAAGCACCGGCUAACUACGUCNNNGCGCCGGUAGUAUNGNGGCGNGCGAGAG
This 193-nucleotide ribosomal RNA is filed under the name uncultured bacterium. RNAcentral's name for it is "partial 16S ribosomal RNA". It matches the Rfam family "Bacterial small subunit ribosomal RNA", at positions 328 to 538 of the family's 1533-position model. The record is from RNAcentral.